Molecule: long non-coding RNA, 254 nt
Filed under: Nicotiana benthamiana
Lineage: Eukaryota; Viridiplantae; Streptophyta; Magnoliopsida; Solanales; Solanaceae
Description: long non-coding RNA (NBEN_LNC018635)
Source: RNAcentral
CUUGACCAAAACCCUCGGCUUUCCAGUGCCAUAACCCAUUCAUCUAACCCUUCACCAUCCAUUUCUUCUAAAUUCGUCGGACAUGCAUCCAAUGGAUCUUUCACAGUCAGGGGCCUAUCAUCUUCUUGCAGGAUUACAUCCACUGCCUCCACUAGAGAGCAAUUAGCAUAUUCACUAGGCCUCUUUAUUGAUUGACUGAACAUUGAAUAUGACUUCUUCUUCGUUCAAUCUCAUUUUUAGUUCCCUAGUCUCAC